AAUGGUCGAAAGUCUGACGGAGCAACGCCGCGUGAGUGAAGAAGGUUUUCGGAUCGUAAAACUCUGUUUUCAGGGACGAAUGUGUGGAUUGUAAAUAAUGAUCCAUAAUGACGGUACCUGACAAGAAAGCCACGGCUAACUACGUGCCAGCAGCCGCGGUAAUACGUAGGUGGCAAGCGUUGUCCGGAAUUAUUGGGCGUAAAGCGCGCGCAGGUGGGAUAAUCAGUCUGAUGUGAAAGUUCGGGGCUUAACCCCGUGAAGCAUUGGAAACUAUUAUUCUUGAGUGCAGGAGAGGAAAGUGGAAUUCCUAGUGUAGCGGUGAAAUGCGUAGAUAUUAGGAGGAACACCAGUGGCGAAGGCGACUUUCUGGACUGUGUCUGACACUGAGGCGCGAAAGCCAGGGUAGUGAACGGGAUUAGAUACCCCGGUAAUCCUGGCCGUAAACGAUGGGUACUAGGUGUUGGGGGUAUCGACCCCUCCAGUGCCGGAGUUAACGCAAUAAGUACCCCGCCUGGGGAGUAC
RNAcentral lists this ribosomal RNA (522 nucleotides) under uncultured bacterium. RNAcentral's name for it is "bacterial SSU rRNA". It matches the Rfam family "Bacterial small subunit ribosomal RNA", at positions 370 to 883 of the family's 1533-position model. The record is from RNAcentral.